Long non-coding RNA from Canis lupus familiaris (dog), 601 nucleotides. RefSeq lists it as uncharacterized. The record is from RefSeq and is a predicted model, not a curated record. NCBI's taxonomy places the organism in Eukaryota, Metazoa, Chordata, Mammalia, Carnivora, Canidae. The transcript is spliced from 4 exons.
GCUCGGGGUCCCUCCCGACCCCCCAGCAUCCCGGGCCCCUGCCCGCCCCCCGCGACGCCGCCGGCCUCAGGUGUGACAGGGCCUUGGAUCUAUAGACAAGCUUCUUGUUCACCAGGAGCACCCCUGCAAUGUGCAUUUUCGUGUCAAAGCCACAUCGUUGCCUUUGUAAUGAAUCAGCACUUACACCUGUACUAGGCAAUCAUGCAGUUGGCACCCCAAAAGAAAGACCCAGAGAGAGAGAGGCGGAGACCCAGGCAGAGGGAAAAGCACGCGGGACUCCAUCCCGGGUCUCCAGGAUCAGGCCCUGGGCUGCAGGUGGCGCUAAACCACUGAGCCCCCGGAGCUGCCCGGUUCAUCAUGUUUUGCGUUUGUGGUGCUCCGUCCUUGAAUAGGACAUUUCAUACCACUCUGCCACAAACAUUUAAUGUCCUUUGAAUUCUGAAAAUUCUGAUCUAAAAAUAUUUGCAACAAUUUGAAGGACUUUGAAUUUGUGAAAUUGUGAAAUAAAGUUGAAACAGUAGAAAAGUUUAUUCGGAGGGGAUUGACCUCUGCGCAUGUGUUUGAGUUAAAAUAAUGAUGAAAAAGUAAACUUCGUCUAUUU